GUUGGGAAUAUUGCACAAUGGACGAAAGUCUGAUGCAGCGACACCGCGUGUGGGAUGAAGGCCUUCGGGUUGUAAACCACUGUCAGGGGGGACGAAGUGUUCCGGCCUAAUAUGCCGGAAUGUUGACGGUACUCCCAGAGGAAGCCACGGCUAACUCUGUGCCAGCAGCCGCGGUAAGACAGAGGUGGCAAGCGUUGUCCGGAUUUACUGGGCGUAAAGGGCGUGUAGGCGGUUUCGUCAGUCAGCCGUGAAAUGCGUCGGCUCAACCGAAGCAGUGCGACUGAUACUGCGAGGCUAGAGGAUCGGAGAGGGAAGGGGAAUUCCUGGUGUAGCAGUGAAAUGCGUAGAUAUCAGGAAGAACACCAAUGGCGAAGGCGCCUUCCUGGCCGGUUUCUGACGCUGAGGCGCGAAAGCCAGGGGAGCAAACGGGAUUAGAUACCCUGGUAGUCC
RNAcentral lists this ribosomal RNA (450 nucleotides) under uncultured bacterium. Its description in RNAcentral is "bacterial SSU rRNA". It matches the Rfam family "Bacterial small subunit ribosomal RNA", at positions 354 to 796 of the family's 1533-position model. The record is from RNAcentral.